Molecule: ribosomal RNA, 490 nt
Filed under: uncultured bacterium
Lineage: Bacteria
Description: partial 16S ribosomal RNA
Rfam family: Bacterial small subunit ribosomal RNA
Source: RNAcentral
AUUGAACGCUGGCGGCAGGCCUAACACAUGCAAGUCGAACGGUAACAGGAAGAAGCUUGCUUCUUUGCUGACGAGUGGCGGACGGGUGAGUAAUGUCUGGGAAACUGCCUGAUGGAGGGGGAUAACUACUGGAAACGGUAGCUAAUACCGCAUAACGUCGCAAGACCAAAGAGGGGGACCUUCGGGCCUCUUGCCAUCGGAUGUGCCCAGAUGGGAUUAGCUAGUAGGUGGGGUAACGGCUCACCUAGGCGACGAUCCCUAGCUGGUCUGAGAGGAUGACCAGCCACACUGGAACUGGGACACGGUCCAGACUCCUACGGGAGGCAGCAGUGGGGAAUAUUGCACAAUGGGCGCAAGCCUGAUGCAGCCAUGCCGCGUGUAUGAAGAAGGCCUUCGGGCUGUAAAGUACUUUCAGCGGGGAGGAAGGGAGUAAAGUUAAUACCUUUGCUCAUUGACGUUACCCGCAGAAGAAGCACCGGCUAACUCCGUG